GAAGCGGCUCGCGCGGGCCCGGCCGGCAGCCGCUCCCCAGACACCGGGGAUCCGGCCCGACUGUUUCCUACCCACGACGGCGAAGACCCGCUACAGCGCGUCCACGAAGCCCCAGUACUGAGCCAGGACGGGGCUCUCCCUCUCGAUGUAGGCGACUACGAACUGCUCCGCCAGCCGGUGAGGCAGCUAAUUAAGAAAGCCACCUUCAGGAUGUCUUUCGAGAAUCUAGCCUCGAAGAAAGUCAUGUAAGAGAACGCCUGCAUCAAAAAGUCGGGAGGCCGGGCGGAGUCGCCGUUAAACGUCCAGGGAAAGCCACCAGGUGGGCCGGCGAACGCUCCCGGGCCAGCAGGUAGGCUUUCUCGCACAGCAGCCCCCGCACCCGGUCCGUAAGCUCGUUGUUCUCCCUGCGCCGGGCAUGGUUCUAGGUCAGGAGGUCCUACAUCAUGACAGCCAACGCGUCCAUCCUGCGCCUCCCCGCAGGCCUUGCUCCCCGCUCGGUCCCUCCCGGCCGCGGCGCUGCCGGAAGUGCGUGUCGGCGCGGGGGCGGAUCCCGGUGGCGGCGAGGGGCGGACUCCGCGGACAAGGCCAGGCCUAGCCUUGAGCUCCGUCGGGCAGGGCCGCCGGGAUUGGUGUCCGGCAGAGCGUGAGCCCAGCGGGCUGGAGUCGGCGAGCGGGAGUGAAAGAAGAAAAGCUAGAGAGCGAAGGCAAAGCCCGAGGAGAGAGGGCCGCGGUCGGCGGAGGAAUCUGACUGCACGGUUGCGUGCGCUCACUCCCGGAGGGCUCCCUCAGGCGGGCGGCUCCGCUAGUGGCUAAAGGCAAAGCAUUCCGGGGCGCGGCGCAUGAAGUUGAGCUUCGUCCCUGCUAGCCGCCGCUUUCUCCCCAAAAAUACAUCCUAGCCUUAAUGUUUAUGCCUCCAUUGCCCCAGUUCUUAUCUGUUUUGCUCAAUGUCUCAUAGCUACAAGAAGGCAAUUUCUGACGAAGCCCUCCGUCCCUUCCAAAUGGAUUAUUUUGGCGGGCUUCCACCCGGACAGUAUGCCACCCGAAUGACUGGACAAGUGCACGGGAGCGGCUGUCAUUUGCGGAGUGCGCCUUGCGAUCUAGGCGCCUCACAGCGCAAAUUAUCCAGUAAUUUCUCUGAAAUCGAUGCUGGUUUGUUUUCCCAAGGCAAAUCAGCAGCUUAUACAGACAUUGGGGCCACAAAGCCGGUGGAACAACGGGAGACGGCUUCCUGAGUGUCAGGUCCUCCAAGAUGAGCUUAAACUUCGGGUGGUGGGCAGGCUCGGUAGGCGGGAAAGGCCCGUGUCCAGAUGAAUGCAGUCCAUGUUUAUAUUGAUGAAAGACACGUAUACCAUUUGGUCCAGCUCAACCAUUCUUAACAAGUGCUGGCUGUGAGCACUGGUGUGUGUGUGCCUGCGUGCAACCAGCAAUGUAAGUGAUGACCAGCUGCAUGAUGCCUUAAUUUGAGUGGACAAAGUCGGUCAAGAACCACUUUCAGGCUUCUGGGUCUCCAAGUCUUUGUCUCCCUGUAUCCAAACGAGGCAUUCCAAGUUUGACAGCAUGGAACAUUGCAUGUCCGAAAUACCAACCGUGAAACUGGGUAAAAAGCUUCAGGAGGUGAUAUUGAUGUGUAUAGUUUAGGAAAUAAAACCCAAUACUUACUUCAAAGAACGUAAUUUGUGGCUUUUUAGAGAGAAGGAUACUUUGACAGUUUUCAUUUGUCGUCUACAUGUAUAUGGUACGUUUCAUUCUGCCUUUUAAUUAAUUUGGUAUUUUACUAUGAAAACUACUUUGUAUUAAUAAAAUAAUGUAUUUCCAAUGUUAUAAGUUGUGUUAUAACAGUUUCAAAAGCCAAAUAAACAAGAUGCAUUUUGAUAUCA
Molecule: long non-coding RNA, 1877 nt
Filed under: Homo sapiens (human)
Lineage: Eukaryota; Metazoa; Chordata; Mammalia; Primates; Hominidae
Description: HSALNT0392634
Source: RNAcentral